AGAGUUUGAUCAUGGCUCAGGAUGAACGCUAGCGGCAGGCUUAAUACAUGCAAGUCGAGGGGCAGCAGGUUUGUAGCAAUACAGAUGCUGGCGACCGGCAAACGGGUGCGGAACACGUACACAACCUUCCUUUAAGUGGGGAAUAGCCCAGAGAAAUUUGGAUUAAUACCCCGUAACAUUAUGAUGUGGCAUCACAUUAUAAUUAUAGCUCCGGCGCUUAAUGAUAGGUGUGCGGCUGAUUAGGUAGUUGGCGGGGUAAUGGCCCACCAAGCCUGCGAUCAGUAACUGGUGUGAGAGCACGACCAGUCACACGGGCACUGAGACACGGGCCCGACUCCUACGGGAGGCAGCAGUAAGGAAUAUUGGGCAAUGGAGGCAACUCUGACCCAGCCAUGCCGCGUGGAGGAUGAAGGCCCUCUGGGUUGUAAACUUCUUUUAUAUGGGACGAAAAAGGGCCUUUCCAGGUCAACUGACGGUACCAUAUGAAUAAGCACCGGCUAACUCCGUGCCAGCAGCCGCGGUAAUACGGAGGGUGCAAGCGUUAUCCGGAUUCACUGGGUUUAAAGGGUGCGUAGGUGGGUUGGUAAGUCAGUGGUGAAAUCUCCGAGCUUAACUUGGAAACUGCCAUUGAUACUAUCAGUCUUGAAUAUUGUGGAGGUCAGCGGAAUAUGUCAUGUAGCGGUGAAAUGCUUAGAUAUGACAUAGAACACCAAUUGCGAAGGC
Molecule: ribosomal RNA, 723 nt
Filed under: uncultured bacterium
Lineage: Bacteria
Description: bacterial SSU rRNA
Rfam family: Bacterial small subunit ribosomal RNA
Source: RNAcentral